GAUAGCCGUAAAUAAUGGCUGGAUUUAGAGUUGGCGCUGUGACGAUUCGCACUGUUUGUGAUGCUGCAUCGUAAAGCCCGCCCCAGUACAUAGCUUUAGCCACCAAUAACAACGCUCCGAAACCCAAAAAUAGCAGAUGGUGCCCUAAAAUUAGCCCCAACUGCUUGGGGUCAUUCCA
RNAcentral lists this antisense RNA (178 nucleotides) under Leptolyngbyaceae cyanobacterium JSC-12. RNAcentral describes it as "Oscillatoriales cyanobacterium JSC-12 Antisense RNA which regulates isiA expression". It matches the Rfam family "Antisense RNA which regulates isiA expression". Lineage: Bacteria; Bacillati; Cyanobacteriota; Cyanophyceae; Leptolyngbyales; Leptolyngbyaceae. The record is from Rfam by way of RNAcentral.